RNAcentral lists this ribosomal RNA (810 nucleotides) under uncultured bacterium. RNAcentral describes it as "bacterial SSU rRNA". It matches the Rfam family "Bacterial small subunit ribosomal RNA", at positions 8 to 796 of the family's 1533-position model. The record is from RNAcentral.
AGAGUUUGAUCAUGGCUCAGAACGAACGCUGGCGGCGUGGAUAAGACAUGCAAGUCGAGCGGGAUUUUUUCUUGUAGCAAUACAGGGAAAAGUCUAGCGGCGAACGGGUGCUUAACACGUGGGCAAUCUGCCAGGAAGUGGGGGAUAGCUCGCCGAAAGGCGAAUUAAUACCGCAUGUGAUAAGAGUGGACAUCCAUUCGAAAUCAAAGUCGGGGCAACCUGACGCUUCUUGAGGAGCCCGCGGCCUAUCAGCUAGUUGGUGAGGUAACGGCCCACCAAGGCUUAGACGGGUAGCUGGUCUGAGAGGACGACCAGCCACACUGGGACUGAGACACGGCCCAGACACCUACGGGUGGCAGCAGUCGAGAAUUUUUCUCAAUGGGGGAAACCCUGAAGGAGCGACGCCGCGUGGAGGAUGAAGGUCUUCGGAUUGUAAACUCCUGUCAUUGGGGAACAAUGCGUAAAUAUUAACUGUAUUUGCGUUGAUAGUACCCGAAGAGGAAGAGACGGCUAACUCUGUGCCAGCAGCCGCGGUAAUACAGAGGUCUCAAGCGUUGUUCGGAUUCAUUGGGCGUAAAGGGUGCGUAGGCGGCGCGGUAAGUCGGGUGUGAAAUCUCGGAGCUUAACUCCGAAACUGCAUUCGAUACUGCCGUGCUUGAGGACUGGAGAGGAGACUGGAAUUUACGGUGUAGCGGUGAAAUGCGUAGAUAUCGUAAGGAAGACCAGUGGCGAAGGCGGGUCUCUGGACAGUUCCUGACGCUGAGGCACGAAGGCCAGGGGAGCAAACGGGAUUAGAUACCCUAGUAGUCC